AACGAACGCUGGCGGCAGGCCUCAAACAUGCAAGUCUAGGGGGUGUAGCAAUACAUCACCGGCGGACGGGUGCGUAACACGUGGGAAUAUACCUUUUGGUUCGGAACAACGCAGGGAAAC
Molecule: ribosomal RNA, 120 nt
Filed under: uncultured bacterium
Lineage: Bacteria
Description: partial 16S ribosomal RNA
Rfam family: Bacterial small subunit ribosomal RNA
Source: RNAcentral